GAUGAAGAACGUAGCGAAAUGCGAAAAGUAAUGUGAAUUGCAGAAUUCAGUGAAUCAUCGAAUCUUUGAACGCACAUUGCGCCCGCAGGUACUCCGGCGGGCACGCCUGUCCGAGCGUCAUUUCAACCCUCAAGCCCUCCUUCGGGAUGGGCCUGGUGUUGGGGCUCGGCCGCCAUCUCCGGCGGCCGUCCCCUAAAUACAGUGGCGGUCACGUCGCGACUCCUUUGCGUAGUAGAAACACCUCGCUCCGGAUAGCAACGCGGUCCACGCCGUAAAAUCCCCAAUUUUCAAUGGUUGACCUCGGAUCAGGUGGGAAUACCCGCUGAACUUAAGCAUAUCAAUAAGCGGAGGA
Molecule: unclassified non-coding RNA, 352 nt
Filed under: soil metagenome
Description: partial contains 5.8S ribosomal RNA, internal transcribed spacer 2, and large subunit ribosomal RNA
Rfam family: 5.8S ribosomal RNA (bases 1-120)
Source: RNAcentral